CGAGGACUACCGUUGGAUCUGCAUUUUCCAAACCAGUAAAUUGAAGCUAGUGUUGUCUAAUGAAGGAAAAAAAUAAAUGAACAGCAGUAACUACAUGGUUGGUGCAGAUUGGCAGAUCAAGUCAAUAAGAUAUUUUGACUUCCUAUACUUAUAACUUUCUUAAUAAAUCUUGAUUGUUCUCAUUUUUGAACAUUUGGUUCAUUGGUUAAUAUAUAAUCUCUUACCUAAAAACUAGAAUUCGAAUUCCCCUUUUCUCAAUUAAAAA
Molecule: non-coding RNA, 265 nt
Organism: Theobroma cacao (cacao)
Lineage: Eukaryota; Viridiplantae; Streptophyta; Magnoliopsida; Malvales; Malvaceae
Source: RefSeq, a predicted model, not a curated record